This 975-nucleotide ribosomal RNA is filed under the name Triticum aestivum (bread wheat). RNAcentral describes it as "partial small subunit ribosomal RNA". Lineage: Eukaryota; Viridiplantae; Streptophyta; Magnoliopsida; Poales; Poaceae. The record is from RNAcentral.
AUGCCGAUCGCCAUGGACACUGGAGGCGCGCCGGAGCCGGAGCCGGAGGAGGAGACCGUCGUCCUCCCUCAUUGGGUGAUGCUGGACCGCAAGGGCAACACCCUCUGCCACAACAGUCUAGAAGCUGCUCGUGUGGCUGUCGACAAGGACAAGACCGCCGCUCCGGUCGACAUGGACGGCGGCCCCUCCUGCUACGUGGCCUUCACCCUCGCGGCUCCUCAAAAAGGGAUCUCCUGCCUCAACCUCCACUUGCCGGAGGGACCUCCAAUUGCCUUAGACACCCCGCCCGCCUAUGCCUUCCUCCGGGCAACCGACAACAACCUCGUCCUCUUUGACAUCUCCAACCCGCAGAAAAAAGUCCUCUUCGACAUCUCCAACCCGAGCCAGAGUUGCUACUGGGAACCCCCGGCAGAUCUGUUCGUCUACAAGGCCGGCGGUCCUCGCCCCUCGGUGCAGCGGCUCCCACCCUACACAAUCGAGAGCAACAUGCCGUUCCUGAUGGGUUUCGUCACCACAGGCAUCCUGCGGCUCAAAGAUGAGGAUCGCUACAUCGUUGCCGAUAUCAAUGUCUACCGCGGAAAAAAUGGUAUGUGUGCCCAACUCUGCGUCUUCCGCUCUGGGGCUAAACAGUGGGAACUCAGCCCCGAGAUGCCUGCCCCUCAGCCGCAGGACCAGAGCAAUGGCGGCCAGUUCCCCAACCUCUGGUCAACCGACAAUCUGCUUGCUUUUGCCGGCCGUUUCCUGUGCUGUGUUGACUACAUGAGUGGUGUUCUGCUAUGUGACUUCGCGAUACAAGACUUAUCCCCGGUGCUCCGCUUUGUGCCUUUCCCUGGGAAAAAUGAUUUCUCUGAUGAGGAACGGGUUGAAAGGCGCUUCCCUGACAGAUUCCGAAGUGUGUCCAUCAGCCAAGGCAUGCUGUGCUUUGUGCACAUUGACAAUGACUUCCAUGGGUCGCCUCCUGCGAGAAAAAGGUGA